GAUGAACGCUGGCGGCGUGCCUAAUACAUGCAAGUCGAGCGAACAGACGAGGAGCUUGCUCCUCUGACGUUAGCGGCGGACGGGUGAGUAACACGUGGAUAACCUACCUAUAAGACUGGGAUAACUUCGGGAAACCGGCGCUAAUACCGGAUAAUAUAUUGAACCGCAUGGUUCAAUAGUGAAAGACGGUUUUGCUGCCACUUAUAGAUGGAUCCGCGCCGCAUUAGCUAGUUGGUAAGGUAACGGCUUACCAAGGCAACGAUGCGUAGCCGACCUGAGAGGGUGAUCGGCCACACUGGAACUGAGACGCGGUCCAGACUCCUACGGGAGGCAGCAGUAGGGAAUCUUCCGCAAUGGGCGAAAGCCUGACGGAGCAACGCCGCGUGAGUGAUGAAGGUCUUCGGAUCGUAAAACUCUGUUAUUAGGGAAGAACAAAUGUGUAAGUAACUAUGCACGUCUUGACGGUACCUAAUCAGAAAGCCACGGCUAACUACGUG
RNAcentral lists this ribosomal RNA (497 nucleotides) under uncultured bacterium. Its description in RNAcentral is "partial 16S ribosomal RNA". It matches the Rfam family "Bacterial small subunit ribosomal RNA", at positions 28 to 507 of the family's 1533-position model. The record is from RNAcentral.